CCGGUAAACGGCGGCCGUAACUAUAACGGUCCUAAGGUAGCGAAAUUCCUUGUCGGGUAAGUUCCGACCUGCACGAAUGGCGUAAUGAUGGCCAGGCUGUCUCCACCCGAGACUCAGUGAAAUUGAACUCGCUGUGAAGAUGCAGUGUACCCGCGGCAAGACGGAAAGACCCCGUGAACCUUUACUAUAGCUUGACACUGAACAUUGAGCCUUGAUGUGUAGGAUAGGUGGGAGGCUUUGAAGUGUGGACGCCAGUCUGCAUGGAGCCGACCUUGAAAUACCACCCUUUAAUGUUUGAUGUUCUAACGUUGGCCCGUUAUCCGGGUUGCGGACAGUGUCUGGUGGGUAGUUUGACUGGGGCGGUCUCCUCCUAAAGAGUAACGGAGGAGCACGAAGGUUGGCUAAUCCUGGUCGGACAUCAGGAGGUUAGUGCAAUGGCAUAAGCCAGCUUGACUGCGAGCGUGACGGCGCGAGCAGGUGCGAAAGCAGGUCAUAGUGAUCCGGUGGUUCUGAAUGGAAGGGCCAUCGCUCAACGGAUAAAAGGUACUCCGGGGAUAACAGGCUGAUACCGCCCAAGAGUUCAUAUCGACGGCGGUGUUUGGCACCUCGAUGUCGGCUCAUCACAUCCUGGGGCUGAAGUAGGUCCCAAGGGUAUGGCUGUUCGCCAUUUAAAGUGGUACGCGAGCUGGGUUUAGAACGUCGUGAGACAGUUCGGUCCCUAUCUGCCGUGGGCGCUGGAGAACUGAGGGGGGCUGCUCCUAGUACGAGAGGACCGGAGUGGACGCAUCACUGGUGUUCGGGUUGUCAUGCCAAUGGCACUGCCCGGUAGCUAAAUGCGGAAGAGAUAAGUGCUGAAAGCAUCUAAGCACGAAACUUGCCCCGAGAUGAGUUCUCCCUGACUCCCUGAGAGUCCUGAAGGAACGUUGAAGACGACGACGUUGAUAGGCCGGGUGUGUAAGCGCAGCGAUGCGUUGAGCUAACCGGUACUAAUGAACCGUGAGG
Molecule: ribosomal RNA, 1002 nt
Filed under: Escherichia coli
Lineage: Bacteria; Pseudomonadati; Pseudomonadota; Gammaproteobacteria; Enterobacterales; Enterobacteriaceae
Description: partial 23S ribosomal RNA
Rfam family: Bacterial large subunit ribosomal RNA
Source: RNAcentral